AACUGUAGCUAAUACCGUAUAUUCCAGUAAUGGGAAAGAUUUAUCGCUAUAAGAUUGGCCCGCGCAAGAUUAGCUUGUUGGUGAGGUAAAAGCUCACCAAGGCUUCGAUCUUUAGCUGGUUUGAGAGGACGAUCAGCCACACUGGGACUGAGACACGGCCCAGACUCCUACGGGAGGCAGCAGUAGGGAAUAUUGGACAAUGGGGGCAACCCUGAUCCAGCAAUGCAGCGUGAGUGACGAAGGCCUUAGGGUUGUAAAACUCUUUCAUCGGUGAGGAUAAUGACAGUAGCCGAAGAAGAAGGACCGGCUA
RNAcentral lists this ribosomal RNA (310 nucleotides) under uncultured Alphaproteobacteria bacterium. Its description in RNAcentral is "bacterial SSU rRNA". It matches the Rfam family "Bacterial small subunit ribosomal RNA", at positions 155 to 499 of the family's 1533-position model. Lineage: Bacteria; Pseudomonadati; Pseudomonadota; Alphaproteobacteria. The record is from RNAcentral.